This 756-nucleotide ribosomal RNA is filed under the name uncultured bacterium. Its description in RNAcentral is "bacterial SSU rRNA". It matches the Rfam family "Bacterial small subunit ribosomal RNA", at positions 8 to 796 of the family's 1533-position model. The record is from RNAcentral.
AGAGUUUGAUCCUGGCUCAGAAUCAACGCUGGCGGCGUGCCUAACACAUGCAAGUCGAACGAGAAAGGGUAGCAAUACCUGAGUAAAGUGGCGCACGGGUGAGUAACACGUGACUAACCUACCCUGGAGUGGGGGAUAACUGAGGGAAACCUUAGCUAAUACCGCAUAAUACCCACGGGUCAAAGGAGCAAUUCGCUUUGGGAGGGGGUCGCGGCCGAUUAGUUAGUUGGCGGGGUAACGGCCCACCAAGACGAUGAUCGGUAUCCGGCCUGAGAGGGCGCACGGACACACUGGAACUGAAACACGGUCCAGACUCCUACGGGAGGCAGCAGUGGGGAAUUUUGCGCAAUGGGGGAAACCCUGACGCAGCAACGCCGCGUGGAGGAUGAAGUCCUUCGGGACGUAAACUCCUUUCGAUCGGGACGAUAAUGACGGUACCGGAAGAAGAAGCCCCGGCUAACUUCGUGCCAGCAGCCGCGGUAAUACGAGGGGGGCGAGCGUUGUUCGGAAUUAUUGGGCGUAAAGGGUGCGUAGGCGGUUUGGUAAGUCUUGUGUGAAAUCUCCAGGCUCAACUUGGAGUCUGCACGAGAAACUGCCGGGCUGGAGUGUGGGAGAGGUGAGUGGAAUUUCCGGUGUAGCGGUGAAAUGCGUAGAUAUCGGAAGGAACACCUGUGGCGAAAGCGGCUCACUGGACCACAACUGACGCUGAUGCACGAAAGCUAGGGGAGCAAACAGGAUUAGAUACCCCGGUAGUCC